This is a long non-coding RNA of Nyctereutes procyonoides (raccoon dog), 2888 nucleotides long. RefSeq lists it as uncharacterized. Lineage: Eukaryota; Metazoa; Chordata; Mammalia; Carnivora; Canidae. The record is from RefSeq and is a predicted model, not a curated record. The transcript has 6 exons.
UGCACACCCAACUCAGGACUCUGGGAAAUCAGGGCAAUUCCAAAGGUAUGAAGUGUCCAAAAAAUUCCUGAAUGUAAGGAUCUGGGUUUGUUAGGCUGAUACCAGGAGUUUCCCAUUUAACACAGGCAAGCAAAGAGGGGAGCCAAAGGCAUCCCAGUCUUGGGAAGGAAGGAGGGAUCAGCAAAAGUCUUACCCAGAGCAGGAGAGAACUGAUAGGACACUAUCCUUAUCUGGAUCCCAGUUUGCGGUCAGCAGACAGAAUGCUAAUACUUAUCUAACAUCAAGACAAGCCCACGGGUUGUUAUCAUUUUCUCACCGUGUGUGAAUGGAGAACAUCACCUGCCUGGGGACCCACAGCUAGUACUCAACAGGGCCAGAAAUUAGCCCCAGGCCCAUCAAAGCUAAAGCCAAACUCUUCACUGGACCUCCCUGGAAAUGCUGCUCAUCUUUGAGGACUGCCUCAGUGACAGGCAGCAGACACCAGAACUGUGAUCCCCUGGGAUUCAAAAGGGGACCUUAACCCUGGCUCCAAACUAUUGUGCAUUUGUGCAACUGUGAGUCAAGUCUCAACUUUGAGCCAAGACCCAUGUGUCUCUCAGGAUCAGGGGUAGACUCAAGAAGGUAAAAUGUGACCCUAAGCAGGUGCCUCUCUCUCCCUGGGCUUUAGUGUCCCCAUCUCUUUUGGGGAAGGGGUGUAGGGCUCUAGUUAAUUGGAUUGCCAAGGUUCUGGCUCUGAUUGUCUAGGAUUUGUACGUCUAAUGCAGGGUUUGUCCUACUCAGAACCUAACAUUAGUUCUGGGUGUUUCUCUCUGGGGUGGCAGCAGGAAUAGAAAACAACAGAGAUAAGGUCUCUUAGCAGCACAGAGCUCAGCCAGGGAAGUUGUCCCAGGAGGCUGACUGCUCACACCUGGGCAGUAUUCCUGGCUUCCUCUCACCCUGCCUGGGUCCUGACUCUAUUCACCAUCCCCAGACACUCCACCAGAAGGAAUUAGAUGAAGUGUGGGAAGGAUUGACACUUUGGACCAAAGGCCCAGGGGCUUCCUACUCUGAUGUCACGGCAAGGGUGGCCUUUCAAGAAGCUGGAGCCAGGGGCAUGAAGCCCAAGUCCUGAGAACACUGUGACCCAAAUGAGAAGACACCAGCCUGUGGCCCAUAGCCAGGCCCAACCCAGGUCUCCUGCCUCCCAGUCAUUGGCUCUUUUCAUGCAACUUUUAAUCCCCUCCCAGUGGAUUCUGGUGCCUCCUCCCACCCCUUGGGAACCUGGAGCCUGAGCAGAAAGAAAAGAGGAGUGGCUAGGGCCCCCAAAGCCCCAGAUACCAAGAGCUGAGUGCCUUUCUCUAUGCUCUUCCCCAAGAAGAGACGGUUAGCCUUGACCCUAAGGUCCCCCAUCCAGAGCAAAGCCAGUUGGUGCCUGUCCACACCUGGUACCUCCCUUACUGGCAAUACAGUCCAGAGCCAGCACCAGCCACAGUAGAGACAAAGCCACCUAGGCAGCUGCCUGAGCCACAAGGAGUUCCAGAAGGGGAAUGCACUGGGAAGGCCUGAGCACCUGCCACCUUCACCCCUCCUGAGCUGAGGCCCCGACACCCCACUGAUGGGCACAGAGCCCCCCUGCAACUUCUCCACUGCUGCCCACCGGUGCAACUUGGGAUCUCAAUCUUGUGUGGACACAGCUACGGAGGGCAGGGGCACAGCCUGCCCCCGGAGAGCAGUCUGCUACUCCUGCCUUGACGCUUCAGUCCCUUUGGCCAGAUGUGGGUGGCUUGCAGGCUGCGGUGAUCAUCAUCCCGGCCCUGUUGUCCUUGUCCACUCUGCUGAUCGUCAGCUGUAUGUUAUGGAAGACGUGCUCCCGGUGGUCUCACGUCAUUCACCCCAGCCCACCAUCCCCAUCAGGGACCCAGGAAUUUGAAAUGUGGAAUGUAAGACCCAGAAAUGGAGUUGAGUGACAAUAACAUCUGUGAACCUCUGCGGAUGAGAACCCCCAGACUGCUUAAUCAACAAUUCCUUUGAGUCAGAAGCCCCUUCCAGUCAAUUCCCCAAACUCUGAGUUUUCAUUUCCUUUUAAAGUCAGUUUCUCUUAUUUUUAAUAGCCUUAACUAAAAUUCAAGGAGUGGAGAAAGAUAAAGCCAGAGGGGUAUGUAGGUUUAAUCAACACAGUCCAAUGUAAGUACAAUAUGAACCAUAUAUGUAAUUUCACAUUUUCUAGUAGGUACACUGAAGAAGGUAAAAAAAGAUGAGUGAAAUUAAUUUUAAUAAUAUAUUUUAUUUCACCCAAUAUAUACAAAUAUUUCAGUACAUAGCCAAUAUUUUUAAAUUGUUAAUGAGAUAUUUUACAUUCUCUUUGAAUUACAUCUUUGAAAUCUGGAGUAUAUCUUACAUUUAUAGCACAUCUAAAAUCAGACUAGCCACAUUUUGAGCACUCCAUAGCCACAUGAAGUCAGUGGCUAACAUAAUCGACAGCACAGAUUUAGACCCCGAGGGUGGUGGGGGAGCGGCUAAAAAGUCCUGGCUUCAUUCCGAAAGCAGUGGGCAUCCAAAGAGAUUCAAGCCAGGAAGUAACAUGAUUUUAAAAAGAUUCAUUUUAGGAAGAUCAUUGUGACUUCCUCUUAAAGAAUAGACUGGGCAGGAGUUAAGGCUAGCAUUGGCAAAAUCGGCUGGGAGGAGGUAAAAUCAUCCAGAUGAGAGAUGAGAGAUGAUGAUGAUGACAGACUUUGGCAGUGGCAGUAGGAAUACUGGGAGACAACCGAAUUCAAGAGAUGCUUGGGAUGGGGAUCCCUGGGUGGCUCAGCGGUUUGGUGCCUGCCUUUGGCCCCAGGCGUGAUCCUGGGAUCUAGUCCCGCAUUGGGUUCCCUGCAUGGAGCCUGCUUCUCCCUCUGCCUGUGUCUCUG